GUGCUCACUUCAGCAGCACCUAUACUAAAAUUGGAAUGAUACAGAGAAGAUUAGCAUGGCCCCUGCACAAGGAUGACACGCAAUUUGUGAAGUGUUCCAUAUUUCA
Pseudonaja textilis is the source of this 106-nucleotide small nuclear RNA. The record is from Ensembl. NCBI's taxonomy places the organism in Eukaryota, Metazoa, Chordata, Lepidosauria, Squamata, Elapidae.